Molecule: small RNA, 91 nt
Filed under: Vagococcus penaei
Lineage: Bacteria; Bacillati; Bacillota; Bacilli; Lactobacillales; Enterococcaceae
Description: SAM-III sequence
Rfam family: SAM-III riboswitch aptamer (SMK box)
Source: Rfam by way of RNAcentral
GAAUGUUGCAAGAUUCCCGAUAGGAUUUACAUCUAUUUUUUUUGUAAAGAUGCCUUGUAACCGAAUAAAUAUCAGGGGGAAUAACCGAAUG